This 324-nucleotide ribosomal RNA is filed under the name uncultured eukaryote. RNAcentral's name for it is "partial 18S ribosomal RNA". It matches the Rfam family "Eukaryotic small subunit ribosomal RNA", at positions 1470 to 1796 of the family's 1831-position model. The record is from RNAcentral.
CCCGUAGAUGUUCUGGGCUGCACGCGCGCUACACUGAUGCGAUCAACAAGUUUUUCCUAUGUCGAUAGACACGGGUAAUCUUUUGAACUCGCAUCGUGAUGGGGAUAGAUUAUUGUAAUUAUUAAUCUUCAACGAGGAAUUCCUAGUAGGUGCAAAUCAUCAGUUUGCAUCGAUUACGUCCCUGCCCUUUGUACACACCGCCCGUCGCUGCUACCGAUUGGUUGAUCUGGUGAAUUAUUCGGACUGCCGGCUGAAGGGGUUUCCUCAUCUGCCAGCGGAAAGUCUUGUUAACCCUAUCAACUAGAGGAAGCAGAAGUCGUAACA